RNAcentral lists this ribosomal RNA (435 nucleotides) under uncultured bacterium. RNAcentral describes it as "partial 16S ribosomal RNA". It matches the Rfam family "Bacterial small subunit ribosomal RNA", at positions 29 to 507 of the family's 1533-position model. The record is from RNAcentral.
AACGAACGCUGGCGGCAGGCCUAACACAUGCAAGUCGAGCGGACAUCUUCGGAUGUUAGCGGCGGACGGGUGCGUAACGCGUGGGAACGUGCCCUUUGCUUCGGAAUAGCCUCGGGAAACUGGGAGUAAUACCGGAUGUACCCUUUGGGGGAAAGAUUUAUCGGCAAAGGAUCGGCCCGCGUUGGAUUAGGUAGUUGGUGGGGUAAUGGCCUACCAAGCCGACGAUCCAUAGCUGGUUUGAGAGGAUGAUCAGCCACACUGGGACUGAGACACGGCCCAGACUCCUACGGGAGGCAGCAGUGGGGAAUCUUAGACAAUGGGGGAAACCCUGAUCUAGCCAUGCCGCGUGAGCGAUGAAGGCCUUAGGGUUGUAAAGCUCUUUCACCGGCGAAGAUAAUGACGGUACCCGGAGAAGAAGCCCCGGCUAACUCCGUG